GACAGAGGGUGCAAACGUUGCUCGGAAUCACUGGGCGUAAAGGGCGUGUAGGCGGGCAGGUAAGUCGGGCGUGAAACCCCACGGCUCAACCGUGGAAGUGCACUCGAAACUGCAUAGCUAGAGUCCUGGAGAGGAAGGUGGAAUGCUUGGUGUAGAGGUGAAAUUCGUAGAUAUCAAGCGGAACACCGGUGGCGAAGGCGGCCUUCUGGACAGUGACUGACGCUGAGACGCGAAAGCGUGGGGAGCAAACAGG
Molecule: ribosomal RNA, 253 nt
Filed under: uncultured bacterium
Lineage: Bacteria
Description: partial 16S ribosomal RNA
Rfam family: Bacterial small subunit ribosomal RNA
Source: RNAcentral